UACAGAGGUCUCAAGCGUUGUUCGGAUUCAUUGGGCGUAAAGGGUGCGUAGGCGGCGCGGUAAGUCGGGUGUGAAAUCUCGGAGCUUAACUCCGAAACUGCAUUCGAUACUGCCGUGCUUGAGGACUGGAGAGGAGACUGGAAUUUACGGUGUAGCGGUGAAAUGCGUAGAUAUCGUAAGGAAGACCAAUGGCGAAGGCGGGUCUCUGGACAGUUCCUGACACUGAGGCACGAAGGCCAGGGGAGCAAACGGG
This 253-nucleotide ribosomal RNA is filed under the name uncultured bacterium. RNAcentral describes it as "partial 16S ribosomal RNA". It matches the Rfam family "Bacterial small subunit ribosomal RNA", at positions 524 to 776 of the family's 1533-position model. The record is from RNAcentral.